GACGAACGCUGGCGGCGUGCUUAACACAUGCAAGUCGAACGGAAAGGCCCUGCUUUUGUGGGGUGCUCGAGUGGCGAACGGGUGAGUAACACGUGAGUAACCUGCCCUUGACUUUGGGAUAACUUCAGGAAACUGGGGCUAAUACCGGAUAGGAGCUCCUGCUGCAUGGUGGGGGUUGGAAAGUUUCGGCGGUUGGGGAUGGACUCGCGGCUUAUCAGCUUGUUGGUGGGGUAGUGGCUUACCAAGGCUUUGACGGGUAGCCGGCCUGAGAGGGUGACCGGCAAAGUUGGACUGGAAAUCAGCCCCGGCCUCGAAUGGGAGGGGAGGGUGGGGAAGUUGGCAGAGGGGGGGGGGCCUGAGUGCGGCACCGCCGUGGGGGGGGAGUGGGCCUGGGGUUAGUAACCCGUUUCCGCCUUUGACGGGGUGAGAGUGACGGUAAGGGGAAAAGAGGCUCCGGCUAACUACGUG
This 468-nucleotide ribosomal RNA is filed under the name uncultured bacterium. RNAcentral describes it as "partial 16S ribosomal RNA". It matches the Rfam family "Bacterial small subunit ribosomal RNA", at positions 28 to 507 of the family's 1533-position model. The record is from RNAcentral.